UAGGGAAUCUUCCGCAAUGGGCGAAAGCCUGACGGAGCAACGCCGCGUGAGUGAUGAAGGUCUUCGGAUCGUAAAACUCUGUUAUUAGGGAAGAACAAAUGUGUAAGUAACUAUGCACGUCUUGACGGUACCUAAUCAGAAAGCCACGGCUAACUACGUGCCAGCAGCCGCGGUAAUACGUAGGUGGCAAGCGUUAUCCGGAAUUAUUGGGCGUAAAGCGCGCGUAGGCGGUUUUUUAAGUCUGAUGUGAAAGCCCACGGCUCAACCGUGGAGGGUCAUUGGAAACUGGAAAACUUGAGUGCAGAAGAGGAAAGUGGAAUUCCAUGUGUAGCGGUGAAAUGCGCAGAGAUAUGGAGGAACACCAGUGGCGAAGGCGACUUUCUGGUCGGUAACUGACGCUGAUGUGCGAAAGCGUGGGGAUCAAACAGG
RNAcentral lists this ribosomal RNA (429 nucleotides) under Actinomycetes bacterium. RNAcentral's name for it is "Actinobacteria bacterium partial 16S ribosomal RNA". It matches the Rfam family "Bacterial small subunit ribosomal RNA", at positions 355 to 776 of the family's 1533-position model. Lineage: Bacteria; Bacillati; Actinomycetota; Actinomycetes. The record is from RNAcentral.